This 497-nucleotide ribosomal RNA is filed under the name uncultured bacterium. RNAcentral's name for it is "partial 16S ribosomal RNA". It matches the Rfam family "Bacterial small subunit ribosomal RNA", at positions 28 to 507 of the family's 1533-position model. The record is from RNAcentral.
GAUGAACGCUGGCGGCGUGCCUAAUACAUGCAAGUCGAGCGAACGGACGAGAAGCUUGCUUCUCUGAUGUUAGCGGCGGACGGGUGAGUAACACGUGGAUAACCUACCUAUAAGACUGGGAUAACUUCGGGAAACCGGAGCUAAUACCGGAUAAUAUUUUGAACCGCAUGGUUCAAAAGUGAAAGACGGUCUUUCUGUCACUUAUAGAUGGAUCCGCGCUGCAUUAGCUAGUUGGUAAGGUAACGGCUUACCAAGGCAACGAUGCAUAGCCGACCUGAGAGGGUGAUCGGCCACACUGGAACUGAGACACGGUCCAGACUCCUACGGGAGGCAGCAGUAGGGAAUCUUCCGCAAUGGGCGAAAGCCUGACGGAGCAACGCCGCGUGAGUGAUGAAGGUCUUCGGAUCGUAAAACUCUGCUAUUAGGGAAGAACAUAUGUGUAAGUAACUGUGCACAUCUUGACGGUACCUAAUCAGAAAGCCACGGCUAACUACGUG